GAUUUGUUGAGCUCGGGUUGGCUGACGAAUUUUAGGAGGGCGGGGCCGGAGUUUUUCCAUAGGCUGGGUUUCAUGGUUUUCAACAGCGUCUGGCGAAAAUUAAAAAGUGUACCCUUGAGUUCUGGUAGGGGGCAGCAGUGAGUCAGUAUUGAUGAUGGAAGAACACGUGCAGUAUGAUUUCUUUUCCAAGGCUGCCUCAAGGCUGCAUGUCCCAGGGCUGCUGUGGGAGAAGGGUGAGGUGGUUGUGUCGUAGUG
Sinocyclocheilus rhinocerous is the source of this 255-nucleotide long non-coding RNA. RefSeq lists it as uncharacterized. NCBI's taxonomy places the organism in Eukaryota, Metazoa, Chordata, Actinopteri, Cypriniformes, Cyprinidae. The record is from RefSeq and is a predicted model, not a curated record. The transcript is spliced from 3 exons.